Molecule: ribosomal RNA, 481 nt
Filed under: uncultured Methanosaeta sp.
Lineage: Archaea; Methanobacteriati; Methanobacteriota; Methanomicrobia; Methanotrichales; Methanotrichaceae
Description: bacterial SSU rRNA
Rfam family: Archaeal small subunit ribosomal RNA
Source: RNAcentral
UUAAAUGAAUUGACGGGGAGCACCACAACGGGUGGAGCUUGCGGUUUAAUUGGAUUCAACGCCGGAAAUCUUACCGGGACCGACAGCAAUAUGAAGGCCAGGCUGAAGACUUUGCCGGAUUAGCUGAGAGGUGGUGCAUGGCCGUCGUCAGUUCGUACUGUGAAGCAUCCUGUUAAGUCAGGCAACGAGCGAGACCCACGCCCACAGUUGCCAGCGUACUCUCUGGAGUGACGGGUACACUGUGGGACCGCCGCUGCUAAAGCGGAGGAAGGAAUGGGCAACGGUAGGUCAGUAUGCCCCGAAUAUCCCGGGCUACACGCGAGCUACAAUGGUUGGUACAAUGGGUAUCUACCCCGAAAGGGGACGGGAAUCUCCUAAAACCAAUCUUAGUUCGGAUUGAGGGCUGCAACUCGCCCUCAUGAGGCUGGAAUCCGUAGUAAUCGCGUUUCAACAGAACGCGGUGAAUACGUCCCUGCUCCUU